AUGAGUACGUUAAGUUGGAACUGCCGAGGGCUUGGGAACCCUUGGUCAGUUCAAGAGCUUCGCAAAGUGGUGAAGAAAGAAGGUCCCGCCCUUUUAUUUGUAAUGGAAACUAAAAUAAAGGGCAAGAAAGUGGAGGAGUUGAAGACCUCUCUAGGGUUUUCUGGUUGUUUUGCCGUCGACAGCGACGGGCUUAGUGGUGGUAUAGGUUUGUUUUGGUCAAGAGAUGUU
Molecule: ribosomal RNA, 228 nt
Filed under: Triticum aestivum (bread wheat)
Lineage: Eukaryota; Viridiplantae; Streptophyta; Magnoliopsida; Poales; Poaceae
Description: partial small subunit ribosomal RNA
Source: RNAcentral